GCCCAUUGAUGAAAUCAUGGCAAAUGUAAUGAUCCUGUCAGACCAGGAGAUUGCAGUCUCUAGCCUGCUGUUAGAUGGGUAGUCUUGGUGGUGUGGUGGAGUUUUAUUGCACUGCUGUAAGGGCCCACCCACAGUAAUAUGUCACCUUCUACAUCUUCUGCCUCCCCCCAGAGCUGUGGGGUGGGAUAGAUACGAGAUGACAAACAAUGUAUGCAUGUUUGUUAAUUUUUGUGUGUAAGUUAUAUGAAUGUAUGUGUAUCAGCAGGCAAGAACUGCAGUCUCGUUGGUUUGGCAUGUAUGAACUAGUCUUUGGUAAUCUGAGGGCA
Molecule: small nucleolar RNA, 326 nt
Organism: Solea senegalensis (Senegalese sole)
Lineage: Eukaryota; Metazoa; Chordata; Actinopteri; Pleuronectiformes; Soleidae
Source: RefSeq, a predicted model, not a curated record